RNAcentral lists this ribosomal RNA (721 nucleotides) under Agaricus nigrogracilis. Its description in RNAcentral is "eukaryotic LSU rRNA". The stretch from base 324 to 477 matches the Rfam family "5.8S ribosomal RNA". The record is from RNAcentral. Lineage: Eukaryota; Fungi; Basidiomycota; Agaricomycetes; Agaricales; Agaricaceae.
UUUCCGUAGGUGAACCUGCGGAAGGAUCAUUAUUGAAUUAUGUUUUCUAGAUGGGUUGUAGCUGGCUCCCAGGAGCAUGUGCACACCUGUUUGGACUUCAUUUUCAUCCACCUGUGCACCUUUUGUAGUCUUUGUUGGGUAUUGAGGAAGUGGUCAGCCUAUCAGCUCUUGCUGGAUAUGAGGACUUGCAGUGUGAAAGCAUUGCUAUCUUCUACUUGGCCAUGGAAUCUUUUGCCUAUCAAAGUCUAUGUCAUUCAUUAUACCCUAUAGAAUGUUAUUGAAUGUCUUUACAUGGGCUUCCAUGCCUAUGAAAAUUGUAAUACAACUUUCAGCAACGGAUCUCUUGGCUCUCGCAUCGAUGAAGAACGCAGCGAAAUGCGAUAAGUAAUGUGAAUUGCAGAAUUCAGUGAAUCAUCGAAUCUUUGAACGCAUCUUGCGCUCCUUGGUAUUCCGAGGAGCAUGCCUGUUUGAGUGUCAUUAAAUUCUCAACCGUCCUAUACUUUAUUGUAAAGGAAGGCUUGGAUUGUGGAGGCUUGCUGGCCACUUUUGAGGUCAGCUCCUCUGAAAUGCAUUAGCGGAACUGUUUGCGAUCUGCCACAAGUGUGAUAAAUUAUCUACACUGGCGAGGGGAUUGCUCUCUGUGUUCAGCUUCUAAUCGUCUUAGUGACAAUUUUUUUGAAUGCUUGACCUCAAAUCAGGUAGGACUACCCGCUGAACUUAA